This 2680-nucleotide ribosomal RNA is filed under the name Lodderomyces parapsilosis. RNAcentral describes it as "Candida parapsilosis ribosomal RNA". It matches the Rfam family "Bacterial large subunit ribosomal RNA". RNAcentral also lists the same sequence under 1 other name. The record is from RNAcentral. Lineage: Eukaryota; Fungi; Ascomycota; Pichiomycetes; Serinales; Debaryomycetaceae.
AAAGGAGACAUGAUUUGAAAAAGUUAUAAAUGAUAUUAAUAUUAAUAUAUGGAAACUCAUAAAUUAUAUAUAUAUAAUAUAUAUAUAAGACUUAUGUUAUAGAAAGGAUAAAUUAGUUUGGCAUAAGCCGAUCCUAACUAGAAAUAGUAAAUAAAAAAGUAUGUGAAUUGAAACAUCUUAGUAACAUAUGUAAAAACCAAUAGGGAUAACAGUAGUAUCGGUGAGAGAAUCUGUUGUUGUAUACAAGUAAUACUUAGAAGUAUGAAUAAAGUAGUAUCUACUACUAAUACAUAAACUAUAACAUAAAGUUAAAAGUACUGUAAAGGAAAGAGUUAAAAAAUCAAAUUAUAUAAUAAAAAUAUAUAUAAGAGAUAAAAAGAAAUAUAUUAAUAAAGAGCAACUAUAGUAUAGUGUACCUCUUGUAUAAUGGGUCAGUGAGUUAUUUUUAUAAGCGAAAUAAGAAUUAUAUAUAAUAAGAUAAAGUUUAUAGGAAUAGACCCGAAAGCACAUGAUCUAUAUAUGUAUAGAUAUAUAUUUAAAAUAAAUAUAUGAUCAAAUAGGUAGAUGUAGCAAUAUCUUCUAAAGAUAUGUGUAUAGUAGUGAAAGGCAAAACUGAUGUGCAGAUAGCUGGUUAUCUACGAAAUAUAUGUUAGUAUAGCCCUUAUAAUAGCGUAAACCCUGGUAAAGCACUUAAUACCAUAUGGGAAUAAAUUUAUUUACUAUAUGUAUUAAACCUCUGAACAGGAGUGAUAUGACAUAUAAGGAGUCAGACUUAUUGCGAUAAGGUAAUAAGUCGAAAAGGGAAUAACCUAGACUAUUAAAUGAAGGUCCCAAAUCCUCAUUAAGUGAAUACAAUCCUAUGAGUAGAUAAAUACCUCAAUAUAUUCCAUAAAGGAAUAAUUUUGAUCAGACAAUUAGUCAGUGGGUUUGAUAAUAAUCACCUGUUAAAGAACAUGUAAAAAUGCACUAAUAGAAUUUAUAUCAAAAAAAGAUAUAUAAAUCAAAAGAUAGGAACAAAUAUACGGGUCUAAAUGUAGGAACCGAAUAAUAGAUAUAAUAAAAAAUAUUAUAUAGUAGUAGAUUAUAUAGUGAUAAUAACUAUAAAGACAAUGCUGACUUGAGUAACGAUAGGUAAUUAAGGAUUACCCCUACAAAACACAAGGUUUAACUAUAAAUUAACGGUAUCUAAGUAUAUAUAUGAAGAUAUAUAUAUGAUGAUAGAUAGUACAGGAAAAUGUAGUAACCGUACCGCAGUCCGACCCAGGUGUGUAAAUGAUAAAAAAUAAUCAUAAUAUAAAUCUUAUAACUAAUAAGAAAGAUAUUGAGUAGGAAUGGGUGAAGUAUCAUAAAUGAACUCGGCAAAUAAGGCAAGGCCUGAAUAGUACGACUGUUUACCAAAAACACAGCUUACUGCAAAUAGGAAACUAUCGGUAUAGUAAGUGAUAUCUGUCCGGUGUAAGUUAGAUAAAUAAAUAAUUGACUUAUAAACGACGGUCUUAUCAUGAGGAUCUGAAAGUAGCAAAAUUCAUUGGCAUAUAAUUGGUGUCCCGCAUGAAUGAUUAUACGAUACUAUAGCUGUAUCUAUGGUAUACCCAGUGAAAUAGUAAUCGCAGUGAAGAUACUGUGUAGUCAUAGAUUGACAAAAAGACCCUAUGCAGCUUUACUAUAUUCUUAUACUGUUAUAUAUAUAUAUAUUUAAAUUAAAUAUUUUUAUUUAUAUGUUUAUUUCUUUAUAUAUAUAACUAACCUUUAUUAAGGUACCAUAUAAGAUGGUUAGUUUCGAUGGGGCGUCGGCAUCACAAAACAUAACUGAUGUGUCUAAAUGAUAUUUUAUAUUCCCUUAUAUUUUAUUACUUUUUAGUUUUAUUUAUAAGGCCAUCAUCUUUUUAAGAUAAUAAUAGAAUAAAUAAGUACAGAUACACUAGUUGGCAACUAGUAUUAAUUAAUAUAAUAUUAUUUAUUAUAUUAUUCCUCAUUUUUGAUGUGGAAUCAUAUAUGUAAUACAUAUAUAAUUAAUUUUAUUUAUAAGGAUAAUAACAUAACUGUGCUAUGAUAAUGACACAUACUUGUGGAAUUAGUACUUAAGUAUAGUAUAUUGAACAGGCAAUAUCAUUAGAAUUGAGUGUCGAUUACGGAUUAAAGUUACGCUAGGGAUAACAGGGUAAUAUCGCUAGAGAGUUGAUAUCGUCAGCGAUGUUUGCCACCUCGAUGUCGUCUAGACUUAUCCUAUUGGUCGUAGAAGCUAAUAAGGGUACGACUGUUCGUCGUUUAAAAAGUUACUUGAGAUGGGUUAAUUACGACGUGAGUCAGUAAUGAUUUUAUCAUCUAUGACGUUAAUAGUAAUAUGUAAUUAUAUGUGUACGAAAGGAUUAUAUAAUAUAGUUCAAUGGUGAAGAGCUUUUGAUUCUUAGCUAAAACUAUAAAGGAUAAAUAUUGAUAGCUUAUUAAAUAUUAAGCCUUACAUAUUCACUAUAUAAACAUUAAAGAUAAUAAUGUAAUAGUAAUAUAUCUAUGCUUUAUUCUUAUAUAAGAAUAUAGAGGAUAUAAUAAACUAAUAAAUAUAAUCAUUUAUAAUAACAAAUCAUGUCAAAUUAUUUAUAUAUAUUUAUACUAUAUAUUAUUUAUAUUUAAUUAUAUAUAUUAUACAUAUAUUUUUAUAUAAAAAUAUAAAAGUUAGUUA